CCUACCGGCUAAUUCGCCGAACUUCGGCGACUUGAAAACGAUUCAGAUAAAUCGAAGUUCGGCGUUUGGUACCGGGUAAUUUCCGAUGUUCAUUGCAAUCUGGAUGAAAAUCAAUCCAUAGAUAAUAAUAGACAUAUUAGAGGGGUGCAUGAUUGAACGAAUGACUUUUGGUCUUGCGUUCCGUUGAGACAUUUGGUAAACAUUUAAUAUUUUAUAUCAUUAUGAAAUUAAAAAAUACAGACUAAUUUUGUAUGUUAUUUUUAUUAAUUGAUAAUAUUUUUAGUUAAUCACUUUGUAAAGUCUUACAAAUGUUUAAAACAAAAGGAAAAUGCAACGACGGAUUUUUCUUUUGCAACUGAAGUAAUGAAACGCAAAAAAAAAAGAAAAAUGACGUUAUGUUAUAUCAGCUGACAUACUUGAAUUCGCGCCGAAUGCAACAGUUUUAUCUUCUCAGAAUUUAUACAAUAACAACAAUAACGAAAGAAAUAUCACCGAUUUACUACCUACUAGAUCUAGAGAGUCGGAGGCUAGACAUGGAGGAGCGACUUGUUUCAGCAGUCGACAAGCUGGCUGGCUACAGCUGCUGAAGCUAAUAGCAAGGCCGCAGAUAUGCAAACAGAGUUGCUUCGGCUGCUGCUGGAGGAAGUUAGGUGAAGACCAAUAUAAGGUUAAAGAAUAGCAGCAUGACAAUUCUCAAGAACGAAGACACUAGAGAAACUAAGUAAAAACAUAUGUAUUCAAUAAACUUGUAUGUAAAUAUUUAAGCUAAAGUAUAAGUACUCCAUUUAUGUUAUUUAAGUGAAGUUGUAUUUAAUUAAAAUACUUAAGUUUGGUCAUGUUAUUUAAGUGAGUUUGUCUAGGGGUAACAUUAAAGACAAAGAACUAGAUAUCAUUUUUCCAAGAACUAUUUUGAAACAAAAAUAAUAUAGCAUCACGCUUCUAUUCCCGAAGGGGUAGGCAGAGGUGUAUAGUAUAUGUAUACACCCACUCCUAUAUGUAAUUUAAAUACUUAAGUUUGGUCAUGUUAUUUAAGUGAGUUUGUCUAGGGGUAACAUUAAAGACAAAGCAACUAGAUAUCAUUUUACCAAGAACUAUUUUGAAACAAAAAUAAUAUAGCAUCACGCUUCUAUUCCCGAAGGGGUAGGCAGAGGUGUAUAGUAUAUUUAUACACCCACUCCUUGCCAACUACUAUCUAAUAAAAAGAUUUGUAUAGGUGUAUUGAUGAAGAUAUUGGAUGCAAUUAACUUAUAUUUCCAUAUUAUAGUAAGAAUUGGGAACAAUAUUAUAUUUGUAGUAUGUUCUAAUUGAUUACAUUUCUUUGAUCCACCCGCAGGGCUUUUUUGAUUAUACUAUUACACAUUACAAAUAGUCUAGUCCCCAUAAGGCCCCGCAAGCUUGUAUUUAUACAAAAUAAAUGGAUUUAUUUAUUACAAGUUAAAGAUAGAUGGAUAAACUACUUUAUUAAGCACAAUGGACACAAGAUUAGAAAAAUGUAUCUACUUGAGAGAUAGGUUGGUUAAUGAGAGGGGUGCAAUGAAACAAAUUAUGUAAUAACACAAAAUAAAUAAAUCUGCGUAAUGAAAAUAGUUUAUUUGAUGCCAAUAAAGAAAGGUUUGUUU
Molecule: long non-coding RNA, 1619 nt
Filed under: Pectinophora gossypiella (pink bollworm)
Lineage: Eukaryota; Metazoa; Arthropoda; Insecta; Lepidoptera; Gelechiidae
Description: uncharacterized LOC126367575
Source: RNAcentral